GUCUACAGCCAUGCCACCCUAAAUGUGCCCGAUCUUGUCUGAUCUCGGAAGCUAAGCAGGGUUGGGCCUGGUUAGUACUUUAAUGGGAGACCACCUAGGAAUACCAAGUGCUAUAGGCA
RNAcentral lists this ribosomal RNA (119 nucleotides) under Pteropus alecto (black flying fox). The record is from RNAcentral. Lineage: Eukaryota; Metazoa; Chordata; Mammalia; Chiroptera; Pteropodidae.